This 505-nucleotide ribosomal RNA is filed under the name uncultured bacterium. RNAcentral's name for it is "partial 16S ribosomal RNA". It matches the Rfam family "Bacterial small subunit ribosomal RNA", at positions 28 to 507 of the family's 1533-position model. The record is from RNAcentral.
GACGAACGCUGGCGGCGUGCCUAAUACAUGCAAGUAGAACGCACAGUUUAUACCGUAGCUUGCUACACCAUAGACUGUGAGUUGCGAACGGGUGAGUAACGCGUAGGUAACCUGCCUGGUAGCGGGGGAUAACUAUUGGAAACGAUAGCUAAUACCGCAUAAUAUUGAUUAUUGCAUGAUAAUUGAUUGAAAGAUGCUAUUGCAUCACUACCAGAUGGACCUGCGUUGUAUUAGCUAGUAGGUGAGGUAACGGCUCACCUAGGCGACGAUACAUAGACGACCUGAGAGGGUGAUCGGCCACACUGGGACUGAGACACGGCCCAGACUCCUACGGGAGGCAGCAGUAGGGAAUCUUCGGCAAUGGACGAAAGUCUGACCGAGCAACGCCGCGUGAGUGAAGAAGGUUUUCGGAUCGUAAAGCUCUGUUGUAAGAGAAGAACGGGUGUGAGAGUGGAAAGUUCACACUGUGACGGUAUCUUACCAGAAAGGGACGGCUAACUACGUG